RNAcentral lists this ribosomal RNA (541 nucleotides) under uncultured Rhodoferax sp. RNAcentral's name for it is "bacterial SSU rRNA". It matches the Rfam family "Bacterial small subunit ribosomal RNA", at positions 96 to 631 of the family's 1533-position model. The record is from RNAcentral. Lineage: Bacteria; Pseudomonadati; Pseudomonadota; Betaproteobacteria; Burkholderiales; Comamonadaceae.
UGGCGAACGGGUGAGUAAUAUAUCGGAACGUGCCCAGUCGUGGGGGAUAACGCAGCGAAAGCUGUGCUAAUACCGCAUACGAUCUCUGGAUGAAAGCGGGGGACUCGCAAGGGCCUCGCGCGAUUGGAGCGGCCGAUAUCAGAUUAGCUAGUUGGUGGGGUAAAAGCCCACCAAGGCGACGAUCUGUAGCUGGUCUGAGAGGACGACCAGCCACACUGGAACUGAGACACGGUCCAGACUCCUACGGGAGGCAGCAGUGGGGAAUUUUGGACAAUGGGCGAAAGCCUGAUCCAGCAAUGCCGCGUGCAGGAUGAAGGCCUUCGGGUUGUAAACUGCUUUUGUACGGAACGAAACGGUCGCCUCUAAUACGGGUGGAUAAUGACGGUACCCCCAGAAGAAGCCCCGGCUAACUCCGUGCCAGCAGCCGCGGUAAUACGGAGGGGGCUAGCGUUAUUCGGAAUUACUGGGCGUAAAGCGCACGUAGGCGGAUCGGGAAGUCAGAGGUGAAAUCCCAGGGCUCAACCUUGGAACGGCCUUUGAA